UAUAUUAAAUUCACAGGUCGCCAAGAUAUCCUACACACUGAAUCCCUUGGGUUUGAAAUAAAAUAAUGACAGCAAACCCGGCAAUUUAUAUAAGUAUUACUAAUGGUCCCUGUUUCAUCCUUAGUGCAGUGGAAUGUCGAAUUAAAUUUUUAUAAGCACGAGUUAUUUCCUGGGACUGCUGUGUAUACACACAUGCUUAUACCAGCAUGCUUAACAUUAUAUAAGCAUGUUUUACAAGUCGUACAUAUUAUUAUCAUGGAGCAUAUAAAAAUAUAGAAUAAUAUCAUUAUUUUAUGAAAAUUAGAUAUGUUUAGAUCACGGAGACAAGUAUUUAUAGACAGGAAUUGAUGCUAUCUCCAAUUAUUCUAUUAAUUUGUUUUUAUACAUAAAAUUUAAGUUUAAUAAUUAUACUCUAUAUUACAAUAAAAAUAAAUCUAUUAU
This is a long non-coding RNA of Melitaea cinxia (Glanville fritillary), 441 nucleotides long. RefSeq lists it as uncharacterized. The record is from RefSeq and is a predicted model, not a curated record. NCBI's taxonomy places the organism in Eukaryota, Metazoa, Arthropoda, Insecta, Lepidoptera, Nymphalidae. The transcript is spliced from 2 exons.